CCUACGGGUGGCAGCAGUGGGGAAUAUUGUACAAUGGGGGAAACCCUGAUGCAGCGACGUCGCGUGAGUGAUGAAGUAUCUCGGUAUGUAAAGCUCUAUCAGCAGGGAAGAAAAUGACGGUACCUGACUAAGAAGCCCCGGCUAACUACGUGCCAGCAGCCGAGGUAAUACGUAGGGAGCAAGCGUUAUCCGGAUUUACUGGGUGUAAGGGGUGCGUAGACGGAGGUGCAAGCCAGAGGGGAAAGCCUGGGCUCAACCCCGGGACUGCAGUUGGAACUGUGCUGCUAGAGUGUCGGAGAGGCAGGCGGAAUUCCUAGUGUAGCGGUGAAAUGCGUAGAUAUUAGGAGGAACACCAGUGGCGAAGGCGGCCUGCUGGACGAUGACUGACGUUGAGGCUCGAAAGCGUGGGGAGCGAACAGGAUUAGAUACCCUUGUAGUC
Molecule: ribosomal RNA, 439 nt
Filed under: uncultured bacterium
Lineage: Bacteria
Description: partial 16S ribosomal RNA
Rfam family: Bacterial small subunit ribosomal RNA
Source: RNAcentral